Long non-coding RNA from Chiloscyllium plagiosum (whitespotted bambooshark), 1487 nucleotides. RefSeq lists it as uncharacterized. Lineage: Eukaryota; Metazoa; Chordata; Chondrichthyes; Orectolobiformes; Hemiscylliidae. The record is from RefSeq and is a predicted model, not a curated record.
CCCAGCCUGCCAAAUUCUUACACAGCAACACGUCCAGCCAACCAAAAAACAACGCCUUUCCCAGAAAUUAUCCCACUGGCUGCGAGACGGUGAAAAAGAAGGAGGGAAAAAAAUCAGCUGGUUUACAUCACCCACCAACCAUAUUUUCAAAUUGCAAUGAACGUCAUCUAUGUUUUUCUCGCGGGUCCAGCAUAAAUUCGAAAAGGGGCUGAGUUUUGCAAUUUUUUUUUCAUAUUUUGGACAGGGUCACAACCUUUUUUUUAAACACCAUUCCAAUUGAACUGUUUAGCUAGUUAAAUCCUGCAUUUGUUUUUCACUGUCCUGGGUUACUAGUACAAUGCAAUUGUUUCUUCUAUACCAGAGUUUGUUUACAUCCUUUUAUUUCCUUUCGUGUUUAUUUUUACAUCGACAAGGCCGGGAAAGACAUACGGCGGGGGCUUGUCACGAGAGAGAGAGAGCGCCUUUGGAGUUAUUUUGUGAGUUCCUUCCCUCCAUAAAAACCACUCAGUUUAAAGGGGAAAGUGUCGUGGAGCGAGGAGAAGGAUUUAUUUUUUGGUUAUUGGAACAUAGGCCAGGAUGGUUGCUGCCUGCAAUAUGAAAGUAAAAUCGAGAGCAGGCGACAACUUAACAAAAUCCUCAGGAGGAACCUCGUCCUUCAUGUUGCUCCUGAAAGACCUUUGACGACCCAACAUUCGAAAAUAGAACGCGCACGCCCAGCGUCGCGUUCCAAAUUGGAACCUUCGGCGCCCAACGUUCGAAAAUAGAACGGAUCGCCCGCCGGUGCCGCGUUCCAAAUGAGAUCCUUUGCUAUUCCCGAGUUCAAUUCAGGAGUUUUAACACUUUUAUCCCCCCUUAAUUGUUUGAUUAACAUCGGCAAAUGGAAACUUAGGAUCUGCCCCUCAGAGCAAACCAAAAACCUUCCGCCCCACACACUCUCUGCCAAGGUCUGUCCGUGAACCCCGCAGCUCAGACAACCGUACCGAGCUGGUGUUUGUACAGUCUGUAGCGCUGCUGGGUCUGGGUUUGUUUGUAAUCUGACAGCAGGAAAUCCCGCCUUCCACCGGUCCACUAUUGGUGCUUGGACUGCUUUUAUUAGGUUGUAAAGAGGUGGAAGUAAUAUCAACGUGGUGCCGUUCACUGUGAGGACGAUAAAACGCGUUCCCGCUUGUGCAGACUCUACCCCUUCGUCCGUAUGAUUUGCAGAGCGUGCAGUGAAACACCAAUCAGAAAUAGCUAUGUAGCAGAAACCAAUCGCACAAAUUUGAUUUUUCAACUACCAGAGAAUACAUCACAGUAACUGUUUUGAACGUCACUGAUGUCAUUACCAGACAAGUCAGAUCCCAGUCAGGAACCUGGCUUGAUGGGUCAAAUUUUUAUUUGAUUUCGUUUUAAUGUAAUUGUCUCUCGCUAAAACAUGAACUCGCAAUGCUGCAGGUUUUGCUUUACCAAUAAAAUGGAAACUCAUUACAAAAGGAACAAAGAUAAAA